Molecule: long non-coding RNA, 1918 nt
Organism: Astyanax mexicanus (Mexican tetra)
Lineage: Eukaryota; Metazoa; Chordata; Actinopteri; Characiformes; Acestrorhamphidae
Exons: 3
Source: RefSeq, a predicted model, not a curated record
GGGAGUUGGAGUGAGGACUGAUAGUGGGUGCAGGUGAAUUAUGGGAGUUGUAGUGAGGGCUGAUAAUGGGUGCAGGUGAAUUAUGGGAGUUGGAGUGAGGGCUGAUAGUGAGUGCAGGUGAAUUAUGGUAGUUGAAAGAGGACUGAUAGUGGGUUCAGGUGAAUUAUCGGAGUUGGAGUGAGGGCUGAUAGUGGGUGCAGGUGAAUUAUGGGAGUUGUAGUGAGGGCUCAUAGUGGGUGCAGGUGAAUUAUGGGAGUUGUAGUGAGGGCUCAUAGUGGGUGCAGGUGAAUUACAGGAGUUGGAGGUCUGAUAGUGGGUGCAGGUGAAAUAUGGGAGUUGUAGUGAGGUCUGAUGGGGUGUGCAGGUGAAAUAUAGUUGUAGUGAGUUCUGAUAGUGGGUGGAGGUGAAUUAUGGAAGUUGGAGUGAGGGCUGAUAGUGGGUGCAGGUGAAUUAUGGGAGUUGUAGUGAGGGCUGAUAGUGGGUGCUGGUAAAUUAUGGGAGUUGGAGUGAGGGCUGAUAGUGGGUGCUGGUGAAUUAUGGGAGUUGGACUGAGGGCUGAUAGUGGGUGCAGGUGAAUUAUGGGAGUUGUAGUGAGGGCUGAUAGUGGGUGCAGGUGAAUUAUGGGAGUUGUAGUGAGGGCUGAUAGUGGGUGCAGGUGAAUUAUGGGAGUUGUAGUGAGGGCUGAUAGUGGGUGCAGGUGAAUUAUGGGAGUUGUAGUGAGGGCUGAUAGUGGGUGCAGGUGAAUUAUGGGAGUUGUAGUGAGGGCUGAUAGUGGGUGCAGGUGAAUUAUGGGAGUUGUAGUGAGGGCUGAUAGUGGGUGCUGGUAAAUUAUGGGAGUUGGAGUGAGGGCUGAUAGUGGGUGCAGGUGAAUUAUGGGAGUUGUAGUGAGGGCUGAUAGUGGGUGCAGGUGAAUUAUGGAAGUUGGACUGAGGGCUGAUAGUGGGUGCAGGUGAAUUAUGGGAGUUGUAGUGAGGGCUGAAAGUGGGUGCUGGUGAAUUAUGGGAGUUGGAGUGAGGGCUGAUAGUGGGUGCAGGUGAAUUAUGGGAGUUGGAGUGAGGGCUGAUAGUGGGUGCAGGUGAAUUAUGGGAGUUGGAGUGAGGGCUGAUAAUGGGUGCAGAUGAAUUAUGGGAGUUGGAGUGAGGGCUGAUAGUGGGUGCAGGUGAAUUAUGGGAGUUGGAGUGAGGGCUGAUAGUGGGUGCUGGUAAAUUAUGGGAGUUGGACUGAGGGCUGAUAGUGAGUGCAGGUGAAUUAUGGGAGUUGGAGUGAGGUCUGAUGGGGUGUGCAGGUGAAAUAUAGUUAUAGUGAGUUCUGAUAGUGGGUGGAGGUGAAUUAUGGGAGUUGUGGUUGUAGCGGGUGAAUUAUAGAAGUUGUAGUGAGUGUCUGAUAGUGGGUGCAGGUGAAUUAUGGGAGUUGGAGUGAGAGUCUGAUAGUGGGUGCAGUUGAAUUGUGGGAGUAGGAGUGAGGGCUGAUACCAGGUGCAGGUGAAUUAUGGGAAUUGGAGUAAGGGGUAAUAGUGGGUGCAGAUGAAUUAUGUCUGUUUAAUAUUACCACACACAGCCUUGUUCACUGUCCACACUGUGUAGUUUCUCUGGAACAGAGCAUGUAACAACAUUUAACAACAAAAAAACCCACUUUCAACAAAACUUCUAAAUAUAAUUAUCUUUAAACAUUUAAAAGUUAUUUGCCACCUUUACUUCAGGGCUUCAUAUGAAGUAAUGUUUUUUGUGGAUUCUGCUUUUUCAGCUGUGUUAACCAGCUUUAUAAGUUUUCUAAUGAGAUUAAUAAACUGAGUCAGGUACAGAUAGUCAAGAUUCAAAUGUCCUUUUAUUUAUUUAAAUGAUUAUUAAUGGAAAUAAAAAUAUAAAAUGUUUCCAUAUCAUUAGAUAGCACACUCAAAUGCACUUUCUAUCCAUAAGAU